UACGUAGGGUGCAAGCGUUGUCCGGAAUCAUUGGGCGUAAAGCGCGCGUAGGUGGCCAUUUAAGUCCGCUGUGAAAGUCAAAGGCUCAACCUUUGAAAGCCGGUGGAUACUGGAUGGCUAGAGUACGGAAGAGGCGAGUGGAAUUCCAGGUGUAGCGGUGAAAUGCGUAGAUAUCUGGAGGAACACCGGUGGCGAAGGCGGCAUCCUGGACCAACACUGACGCUGAGUGAGCGAAAGCCAGGGGAGCAAACGGG
This 254-nucleotide ribosomal RNA is filed under the name uncultured bacterium. RNAcentral's name for it is "partial 16S ribosomal RNA". It matches the Rfam family "Bacterial small subunit ribosomal RNA", at positions 524 to 776 of the family's 1533-position model. The record is from RNAcentral.